GGAUUAAUACCCCAUAAUACUAUAAAUAAGCAUUUAUUAAUAGUAAAAACUCCGGUGGUUAAGGAUGGGCAUGCGUACCAUUAGAUAGUUGGCAAGGUAACGGCUUACCAAGUCUACGAUGGUUAGGGGGCCUGAGAGGGUGGUCCCCCACACUGGUACUGAGACACGGACCAGACUCCUACGGGAGGCAGCAGUGAGGAAUAUUGCGCAAUGGACGAAAGUCUGACGCAGCCAUGCCGCGUGCAGGAUGACGGCCCUACGGGUUGUAAACUGCUUUUAUACAGGAAGAAAACUUUCAACGUGUUGAGAGUUGACGGUACUGUAAGAAUAAGCAUCGGCUAACUCCGUGCCAGCAGCCGCGGUAAUACGGAGGAUGCAAGCGUUAUCCGGAUUUAUUGGGUUUAAAGGGUGCGUAGGCGGAAUAAUAAGUCAGUGGUGAAAUCCUGCAGCUUAACUGUAGAACUGCCAUUGAUACUGUUAUUCUUGAAUAUAGUUGAGGUAGGCGGAAUGUGUAAUGUAGCGGUGAAAUGCAUAGAUAUUACACAGAACACCGAUUGCGUAGGCAGCUUACUAAGCUAUUAUUGACGCUGAGGCACGAAAGCGUGGGGAUCGAACAGGAUUAGAUACCCUGGUAGUCCACGCUGUAAACGAUGAUCACUAGCUGUUGGCGAUACACCGAUCAGCGGCAAAGCGAAAGCAUUAAGUGAUCCACCUGGGGAGUACGGUCGCAAGAUUGAAACUCAAAGGAAUUGACGGGGGCCCGCACAAGCGGAGGAACAUGUGGUUUAAUUCGAUGAUACGCGAGGAACCUUACCUGGGCUUAAAUGCAGGACGACGAACUGGGAAACCAGUUUUCUCUUCGGAGCGGACUGCAAGGUGCUGCAUGGUUGUCGUCAGCUCGUGCCGUGAGGUGUCGGGUUAAGUCCCAUAACGAGCGCAACCCCUAUCGUUAGUUGCCAGCGGAUCAUGCCGGGGACUCUAACGAAACUGCCGGUGUAAACCGAGAGGAAGGUGGGGAUGACGUCAAAUCAGCACGGCCCUUAUGUCCAGGGCUACACACGUGUUACAAUGGUCGGUACAGAGGGUAGCUACUAUGUAAAUAGAUGCCAAUCUCGAAAACCGGUCUUAGUUCGGAUCGAAGUCUGCAACUCGACUUCGUGAAGCUGGAUUCGCUAGUAAUCGCGCAUCAGCCACGGCGCGGUGAAUACGUU
This 1211-nucleotide ribosomal RNA is filed under the name metagenome. Its description in RNAcentral is "bacterial SSU rRNA". It matches the Rfam family "Bacterial small subunit ribosomal RNA", at positions 160 to 1372 of the family's 1533-position model. The record is from RNAcentral.